AGUGAGCAUUGCGUCCAUGGAGAGCAGAUGGUGUUUUUGAAAGGAAGGGCGGCCAUUCCCAGGACUUUGGACUUGGUUCCGUUGAACCCCUGAACCGUGGCUGCUGGGACAACGUUGGGACAUCCUUCUACUGAAGAUUCAGAUCUAGAAACCAAGGGGAAGAGACAAACAGGACACAGCCGAGUUCCCGUUCGUCAUGGUGCUCUGAACGCAAUGGCAACAUGUUUGCUUCCCCUAAACCAUCGUAUCAAUGAUAUAUCUUCAUGGGAAACUUUUAAGGAAAAAAAUUCAUGUUCUUUGGGUUCCUAUUCAUUAUAAGGAUAGCUUUCAUCAAACCAGUCACUGUGGAUGACUUUUAAUUUAACAGAGCAGGAAGAAGGCUGUCAGCAACAUUAUCUUUUCUGGUUACCUAAGAUUGUAAGACCAAGAGCCUUCUGACUAAACGGGCCUG
RNAcentral lists this long non-coding RNA (451 nucleotides) under Mus pahari (shrew mouse). RNAcentral's name for it is "lncRNA (MGP_PahariEiJ_G0012590.1)". Lineage: Eukaryota; Metazoa; Chordata; Mammalia; Rodentia; Muridae. The record is from RNAcentral.